UACGUAGGGGGCAAGCGUUGUCCGGAUUUAUUGGGCGUAAAGAGCGUGUAGGCGGUCAGGUAGGUCGGUUGUGAAAACUGGAGGCUCAACCUUCAGAGGUCGACCGAAACCCCCUGGCUAGAGUCCGGGAGAGGAGAGUGGAAUUCCUGGUGUAGCGGUGAAAUGCGCAGAUAUCAGGAAGAACACCCGUGGCGAAAGCGGCUCUCUGGAACGGUACUGACGCUGAGGAGCGAAAGCAUGGGGAGCGAACAGG
This 253-nucleotide ribosomal RNA is filed under the name uncultured bacterium. Its description in RNAcentral is "partial 16S ribosomal RNA". It matches the Rfam family "Bacterial small subunit ribosomal RNA", at positions 524 to 776 of the family's 1533-position model. The record is from RNAcentral.